This 894-nucleotide long non-coding RNA is filed under the name Homo sapiens (human). Its description in RNAcentral is "non-protein coding lnc-PAXIP1-8:1". Lineage: Eukaryota; Metazoa; Chordata; Mammalia; Primates; Hominidae. The record is from RNAcentral.
ACUCUGUGUUAGCCAAAUGCCAGCUUGCCCACCCAAAUGCUGGACUGAAGUCUAACACGUUCCAACAGCAAAUCUGCAGACACUCCACCCACCAGGACAGCUGCUCACGCGUGCAACCCUGUGGGUCCAGAAGAUUUCGAGUGCAGACACGUGGGAUUCAGGAGACUGGUUCCCAGGCUCUCUGCAUCCAUAGGAGCCUGCUGGCAAAUGUGCUGAGAAUGGACAUGCCUGAUUCGCUCCAAGGAACUGCUCCUUUCCUGUGCCUCUUUCAUCAUGGCCUGACACAGGCGUCACGAGGGCAAGGAAGGCCUUGGAGCCCCCUCAUCUGUCCCUGGGGCAUCUUGUACACAGGUGGGCUCCACAUGAAGGAUGAGGGACCACCAAGGCUGAGUUCAGUAAGAGAACUCCCCCAGUAAUGGGUAAGAGCCCCCAGUAACAUGGUCGGCUUGUCAUCCUUUGAUUUUAACAAAAUGGAAGGGGAAUCUCACUGAGCUAAAAAUCAAUAGAUCAUUGAAAAUAAUCCUUAAUGACAGAGAAUGGAUGGGCCACAAUGUUUUGGCAUAUAGCUCAGGCGUUCAGUGAAAAUGGCACUGCUAUAACAAGACUCCUCUCUCUCCAUUUAUUUACAUGAACACAUUUUCAGACAUUCUACAGAAACAAAAAGAAGCGACCACCAAAAGGAGGGAAAAACCAGGAGCGCACACGUUUCUGACAAGGUCUUCUCUGGAAAUGAGUCAGGUGUGCUCAUGAACUGAGUGAAAAACCACCACACCCAGCUCGCUAAGAGAUGCAUCUCAGAGCAAUCAUAACUUUUUAUGUCCAACAAUUAUCAAAGUAUGUAAUGUAUCCUAAUUGCUUGAUGUGAACAAGUGAUAAUUAUGAUAAUAAUUCCAU